AUUGGUCUCGACUUAGGUGAGUCGGGUAUAAGCAGCAUGCCGCGGACUUGCAAGGUUGGCCGCGUUAACAAUCCUUGCUAAAAGACAAAUGCCAACGAAAAUACGUUGACGUUUAACGGGUUGAUGGAAAGCAUGGUAGUGGUUAAUCCCGCUGCCGUGGCGCCCAUCGCGCCCGCACUCGUCCCAGUUCUCUAAUCAGAAUUGGGCCCCGAUCCAGCCUGCCUAAGGGCUGACGUUGGGACUCUAAUUUAGGCUGGCCCCGGCUGUUAGCCUUCGGAACCGGGGUGAGAGCAGUAAAAGGCUGCGGCCCGGGGAGUCCUGUCUGUCGGAAGUCCCGGGAAUAAGGCGCAGAAGACAGACUGAGCAUGGAGCGGCUUAUAUUCGUUUAUCUAAGGACGCGGGUUCGAUCAACACAGGUCGACUCCCGGA
This 429-nucleotide transfer-messenger RNA is filed under the name Candidatus Omnitrophota bacterium. It matches the Rfam family "transfer-messenger RNA". Rfam says of the family: Bacterial tmRNA, also known as 10Sa RNA or SsrA, is named for its dual tRNA and mRNA-like properties. Its role is to liberate the mRNA from a stalled ribosome. The record is from RNAcentral. Lineage: Bacteria; Pseudomonadati; Candidatus Omnitrophota.